This 1252-nucleotide long non-coding RNA is filed under the name Sorghum bicolor (sorghum). RNAcentral describes it as "long non-coding RNA (SBIC_LNC005652)". Lineage: Eukaryota; Viridiplantae; Streptophyta; Magnoliopsida; Poales; Poaceae. The record is from RNAcentral.
GGCUUGCAGGUUCUGACGUUUGUAUUGCUGUACUGUGGCGGCAUCAAAUGCAUCAGCAAACAGCAAAACUCUGUAGAAAUGACGCGCAGUGCUUGCACACACAAACAACUCAACAGUCAUCGAUGAACACUGAACAUGCAGCUAUAGAUUUGCUAUAGGACAGGCUCGCAGGGGCCGGCCUACCAGCCAUCCAUCGAUCGUGAGCUGUCUCGGAGGAGGCAGGCAUGGCAACAGACUGGGAACGUGGUGGCUCCGGUUCCAGCCUCUGGAUUUUGUCAGCUAUAAAAAUAGCAGGCGCCGUUCAUCUCUCUAUAACACACACACACACACACACACACACACACACACACACCCCAGUACACCUGCAGCACCGCCCCAAGCCUCGGCAUCUAGCUUUCUACCGUGCACGGUACUACAAGCCGGCAACUUUUCACCGUAACGAAAUGGCAUCCAAGGUCUUCCGCGCCGUCGUCGUCGCCGCGCUCGCCGCGUCCGCCCUCGCGGGGGUCGCCAUGGCCGCCGACGAGCCCGCGCCGAGCCCCACGUCCGGUGCCGCCGCCGUCUCGUCCUCGUUCGUCGCCGCCGUCCUCUGCCCCGCCGUGGCGCUCCUCUUCGGCAGCCUGCGUCACUGAGUCCCAGCAGAACACGGCGAGUUGUCGCAUGGUCACUUACCUCCCCGACCCAUCCCUGCCUCUGCCUUGUAUUGUAUUGUAUCUACUAGCAGGUUUCUUCCUAUGCUAGCUGGCUGUCUUGUGCAUCCCAUGUAUGAUGUAUCUUUAGUUCUUUACCGACUCAGAUAUUCUAUGCCACCAGUUUCUCAGCUACAGUAAUUAUUUGAUUUGUUAUGCCCCCUGUGGAAUUAAGUGCGUACAGUUUCACUUGUUUCCUAAUCAGAGUCACGUCCCUUGCAAUCGUUAUGUAUUAGUACUACUGAUUAACUUCCCGUUGAUUUCAUUUCUCUGAAGUUGCCAUGUAAUGUUCCUUCUCUGAACUAUACUAAAAUGGUCUGAUUAGUAAAGCCAACCGAACACUUCCAUUGCUUUAGCCAAACAAAAACUGCCCGGAGUCCACUGGAGAGUACUAUGGUGGAUGCGAAGCACAAUCAAGAGUCCACUGGAGAGGGGCAAUUUAAAUAUUUGCCCCCCCUUACGGAUGGCUCCUCUUCACUUGCCUCUCUUAUAAGUGCAAUUAAAGAUUUGCUCCAGGAAUCUCUUCGGUCCUAUAGAUUUGCCCAUUUUACCUACGUGGCAGU